Molecule: long non-coding RNA, 2246 nt
Organism: Corapipo altera (White-ruffed manakin)
Lineage: Eukaryota; Metazoa; Chordata; Aves; Passeriformes; Pipridae
Exons: 11
Source: RefSeq, a predicted model, not a curated record
CUAGUAAGGAAAUCUCAUCAGGAGCAACACCCACGUGCAGGUACCAAGCCCCUGCUGCACCUGAAUUCAAUUGAUGCAAAGAAGCUGAAUUUAAAAUAUGCUCCAGAACAAAGCAAGGCCAGCUGGAGGAUUUCCUGCAGGAGAAAGGAAAAGUCUGGGGAGGCAGUGGGCUGGAAUGCUGAGCUGUGACACAUUCCUGCUGGCUACAGUCUCAUUCUGUUCCUCCCCUUACUAAGGCGGGCAAGCCCCGGGGUGUUCGCAGCGCUGCGGUGUGACAGCGGCAGCCCGGGAAGGCGAUCCAUGCGGUGAUCCCGGCGCUCCAUGCGGGGAUUGAGUCACUCACACAAGGUUACGCGAAUCGCUGGCGCCGCCAGGAAUAGCACCCGGAGCCUCCCGGCUCUCUCGAGCCCACCCUCGGUACUCCAGCCCGAAUUCCCCGGGUCUGAGACUUCUUCAAGCAAUAUGUCCUGCAAGGAUUAUGAACAUUUCUGCAGCAAGAUUUGAAACAGCCAGAUUCCAAUUUAAGUCCAAGUCCCUAGGAUUCACUUGUGAUUUCCAGUAAGGCUUCUUUAAGUGUGGCUCUGCUGCACACAAGGAAAUCACACCACAGGCUGGAGUGAGCCAGGAAGUCUCAUCCCCAAGUGGCUUUAUGCUCUUCAAAGAUACCUGAAGGAACCAGAGAAGAGAAGUGUGUCUCCAAAGAGUGAAUUUUUUGGCCCUUUGGAAAUGUAUGAACGGGACAGCACCAUAUGGGCUUGGCAUGCCCCAGGGAUGGCUGCGGGAGCCUGGGAACAUUCCGUGCCUGCAGCAAGUGUAGGAAGAAGGAAGGAGGAGAGCGGAGCGAGCGGCUGCAGGGAGCUGUGUGGGGAUGGCACUGAGCAGCAGGGCUGUACCAGCAGGGCCCAGCCAUGACCACGUCUCCAUCACAGCUGAGAACAGCAGCAGCACCUGCCUGACAUCACUGACAGAGGUACCUGCACAAAGGACCAGGUACAGACUUCUCAGGAUUUUGCCUGCUAUCCCAGACUAACACUUCAGAAGUGCCACCAAGGAAACUUCUCUGCAAAUCUCUUUCUAUUUCAAAACUUCUUAACUGAAUAAUGUGAGUGGCCAGAUACAUUCCUGCCUGUUGAAGCUCACAAUAGAAGAAUGUUCAAAAGGAAAAGGAAAAUAUUUGGAAAGUAUUUUUUUUACUAUCACACAGACCUGGAAAUUGUAUCAACUGAGGAGAUACACCAGUUGUUCCUUCAGCUACCUUUUUUGUGCUGGCAACCUGCCCUGCAAUUUCCAGGGACAGCAAACCUGUGAGACAGAUGCACUCACUGUGUGACUGAGGAUGCUCUCCAGCCCUGCUGUGCCAGCCCUGGGAGCGGGGCCGUGUGUGGGGUCUGCUGUUUUCUGGUUGGAGUGCUUUUUAUAGCCUGUAUUAUAAGGAAACCCACACGUGGGGAAAGGAAGAAGGAAUUAAAUGGAAAACAAACCACAGGCCCAGCCGUUAAUCCUUCUGGGGAAAGCAGGGCCUGGGCUGCAUUCUUCAGCAGCCAGCCCACUGUGGGACACACCAGGUGAGAGUUGUCAGCAGUCUGAGCUGAGUCUCUGGUCAGCCAUCAUUGUGGGGGAUCUGCUGCUGCUCUCCCUCUGGAGCCUGUUCCUUUGUGCUCUUUCCAUGAGGAGCAGCCAAAAUCAUGAGUUAGACGUUGCUGAUACUAAAGAGGACUCCUGGCAUCUGCCCCGAAUGGAGAAAUCAACGUGUCAUUCAUUAAAGAUAUCCCUGCUUGUACAGGGAACGCGUGUUUGCCAGAUGGUGCCAGUUCAGGAUUCCCAGAGGUCCAUCCCUGCUGAAUGCCAGAGCCACCCCAGUCCCAGAGUCCCCCAAGGGUCCUCACUCCUCUCCCUGCAGCCUGGCAGAGAUGCCCCUGGACUUCUCCCAGCUGAGGCUGUGUUGUGACCCCAGACUGCCAAGGAAAGUACAAAAUUGAUGUAUCUUGGGGGAGGGAGGGAGGGGUGUGGGCUGAGAUCUGGUGUCUUGAGACCAUUCUUUAGUGCUGAUCCAGACUGUCUUAUUCCCAGCACUUUUCAAAUUGUGUUAUUUCCUACAGUUUGCAACUACACACAGUAGUCAGAGGUUAUGACAUGUAGCUGACUUUAAAGGACACUGUCUGUAACAAGUGCUAUGUAUGUAUUCUAUAAAUGUUGUUAUACCCUGUAUUUUAUAGCUUUAGACUGCAAUAAAAAGGGACAAACUA